Molecule: transfer RNA, 85 nt
Filed under: Candidatus Vidania fulgoroideorum
Lineage: Bacteria; Pseudomonadati; Pseudomonadota; Betaproteobacteria
Description: beta proteobacterium endosymbiont of Hyalesthes obsoletus HO1-V tRNA
Rfam family: tRNA
About the family: Transfer RNA (tRNA) molecules are approximately 80 nucleotides in length. Their secondary structure includes four short double-helical elements and three loops (D, anti-codon, and T loops).
Source: Rfam by way of RNAcentral
UGAAAGAUGGGUGAGCGGUUUAAACCGUAUGUUUAGAAAACAUACAUAAAUAAUUUUAUCAAGGGUUCAAAUCCCUUUCUUUCAU